CCUACGGGAGGCAGCAGUGAGGAAUAUUGGUCAAUGGGCGCUAGCCUGAACCAGCCAAGUAGCGUGAAGGAUGACUGCCCUAUGGGUUGUAAACUUCUUUUAUAUGGGAAUAAAGUGCAGUAUGUAUACUGCUUUGCAUGUACCUUAUGAAUAAGGAUCGGCUAACUCCGUGCCAGCAGCCGCGGUAAUACGGAGGAUCCGAGCGUUAUCCGGAUUUAUUGGGUUUAAAGGGAGCGUAGGCGGGUUGUUAAGUCAGUUGUGAAAGUUUGCGGCUCAACCGUAAAAUUGCAGUUGAUACUGGCAGCCUUGAGUACAGUAGAGGGAGGCGGAAUUCGUGGUGUAGCGGUGAAAUGCUUAGAUAUCACGAAGAACUCCGAUUGCGAAGGCAGCCUGCUGGACUGUAACUGACGCUGAUGCUCGAAAGUGUGGGUAUCAAACAGGAUUAGAUACCCCAGUAGUC
RNAcentral lists this ribosomal RNA (460 nucleotides) under uncultured bacterium. Its description in RNAcentral is "partial 16S ribosomal RNA". It matches the Rfam family "Bacterial small subunit ribosomal RNA", at positions 338 to 795 of the family's 1533-position model. The record is from RNAcentral.